UUUGGUGUUCUAGGCGUAGAGGGACAACACCAAUCCAUCCCGAACUUGGUGGUUAAACUCUACUGUGGUGACAAUACUGUAAGAGAGGUCCUGUGACAAAAUAGCUCAACGCCAAGA
RNAcentral lists this ribosomal RNA (117 nucleotides) under Gossypium hirsutum (cotton). The record is from RNAcentral. Lineage: Eukaryota; Viridiplantae; Streptophyta; Magnoliopsida; Malvales; Malvaceae.